RNAcentral lists this ribosomal RNA (490 nucleotides) under uncultured bacterium. Its description in RNAcentral is "partial 16S ribosomal RNA". It matches the Rfam family "Bacterial small subunit ribosomal RNA", at positions 30 to 507 of the family's 1533-position model. The record is from RNAcentral.
AUUGAACGCUGGCGGCAGGCUUAACACAUGUAAGUCGAGCGGUAGCACAGGGGAGCUUGCUCCCUGGGUGACGAGCGGCGGACGGGUGAGUAAUGUCUGGGAAACUGCCUGAUGGAGGGGGAUAACUACUGGAAACGGUAGCUAAUACCGCAUAACGUCGCAAGACCAAAGAGGGGGACCUUCGGGCCUCUUGCCAUCAGAUGUGCCCAGAUGGGAUUAGCUAGUAGGUGGGGUAAUGGCUCACCUAGGCGACUAUCCCUAGCUGGUCUGAGAGGAUGAGCAGCCACACUGGAACUGAGCCACGGUCCAGACUCCUACGGGAGGCAGCAGUGUGGAAUAUUGCACAAUGGGCGCAAGCCUGAUGCAGCCAUGCCGCGUGUGUGAAGAAGGCCUUCGGGUUGUAAAGCACUUUCAGCGAGGAGGAAGGUGGUGAGCUUAAUACGUUCAUCAAUUGACGUUACUCGCAGAAGAAGCACCGGCUAACUCCGUG